UAUAUUUAGCAUAUUUAGUCUGCUGUCUGCUGUAUAGUGUAUAGCACUUUAUAGUCUUAUUGAGAGUUGAGUCUUCAAGUCAAUACAUCAGUCAAUAUGUUGAGCUUAUUACGUCAGCCAUUCAUAAAAUCUGUUAAAAUCGCACAGUUUGCUGUUAAAAAUUUUUCGCAACCGAUCCCAAAAGUACUUCAAAGAUCAUAUCGAAUAUCUCAAAGACAAGUUGAGUCCUACACGAACCAUCACCACGUAACCAUGCAACAAUGCAAUUUUUUCCUUUGGUUCUUGUUCUUCUUCUUCUUAAUCCAGUUUGUACCAGAACAAAAGUCAACAAACAAAAAGACAACAAACCAAAAGUCA
This is a long non-coding RNA of Aphidius gifuensis, 357 nucleotides long. RefSeq lists it as uncharacterized. Lineage: Eukaryota; Metazoa; Arthropoda; Insecta; Hymenoptera; Braconidae. The transcript has 3 exons. The record is from RefSeq and is a predicted model, not a curated record.